RNAcentral lists this ribosomal RNA (107 nucleotides) under Jaculus jaculus (lesser Egyptian jerboa). Lineage: Eukaryota; Metazoa; Chordata; Mammalia; Rodentia; Dipodidae. The record is from RNAcentral.
ACUGCCAUACCACCCUGAACAUGUCUGAUCUCGUCUGAUCUCAGAAGCUAAAUGGGGUAGGGCCUGGUUAGUGCUUGGAUGGGACAAAAUGAGAAAUAAUGCCAUUU